Molecule: long non-coding RNA, 288 nt
Filed under: Manihot esculenta (cassava)
Lineage: Eukaryota; Viridiplantae; Streptophyta; Magnoliopsida; Malpighiales; Euphorbiaceae
Description: long non-coding RNA (MESC_LNC002300)
Source: RNAcentral
UUCCUUCAACAAGUUCAGCCCAUUACAGCCAGUACCAAUAACUCCAUCCACAUUUAAACAGGCCGUCACUAACACAUCAUCUCCAAGACACACAAUACCUACAAGCCCAUCUUCUUCAAGCCAAACUGAUUUAGCCCAAUAUAAAUAUAAGCCCAUUGAAGACCAGAUUAUUACCAUAGAACCCGAAUACUGGGCACAAAAUCCUCAUUUAAAUGAAUAUCAACUUUGUGAAACCAUUUUUCCCAAAACUCAUUAUUACAUCCCUGACAAUUUCCAAAAAUCCCAAAU